This is a non-coding RNA of Ictidomys tridecemlineatus (thirteen-lined ground squirrel), 3552 nucleotides long. The record is from RefSeq and is a predicted model, not a curated record. Lineage: Eukaryota; Metazoa; Chordata; Mammalia; Rodentia; Sciuridae.
CGCGCGUCAGCGGCACUCUCGCGAGAAGAGCCUUGCGGGCCAGGAAGAUGGCGCCCCCCAGUCCCCGGGAGCCCAAGUCCCCGUCGGCCACUGGUGCCACCAAGCCCGACAGUGACAUGGUGCUGCCGGGCUUCCCGGACGCGGACAGCUUCGUGAAGUUCGCUCUUGGAUCAGUGGUGGCAGUCACGAAGGCAUCUGGAGGCUUACCACAGUUUGGUGAUGAGUAUGAUUUUUAUCGAAGUUUUCCUGGCUUCCAGGCAUUUUGUGAGACACAGGGAGACAGGUUGCUUCAAUGCAUGAGUAGGGUGAUGCAGUACCAUGGGUGUCGCAGCAACAUUAAGGAUCGGAGCAAGGUGACUGAGCUGGAGGACAAGUUUGAUUUAUUAGUGGACACCAAUGAUGUGAUUCUGGAGAGAGUGGGUAUUUUGCUGGAUGAAGCAUCAGGUGUGAAUAAGCAUCAACAACCUGUCCUCCCUGCAGGACUACAGGUCCCCAAAACAAUAGUGUCCAGCUGGAACCGGAAGGCAGGAGAAUAUGGCAGGAAAGCAAAAUCUGAAACUUUUCGACUACUUCAUGCAAAAAACAUUAUCCGACCUCAACUCAAGUUUCGAGAGAAGAUUGACAAUUCCAACACUCCGUUUCUUCCAAAGAUCUUCGUCAAGCCCAAUGCUCAGAAGCCGCUCCCUCCACCUCUUUCUAAAGAAAGGCGGGAACGCCCCCAGGACCGUCCUGAGGACUUGGAUGUACCCCCUGCCCUGGCGGAUUUCAUCCAUCAGCAGCGAACCCAGCAGGUUGAGCAGGACAUGUUUGCACAUCCUUAUCAAUAUGAACUAGAUCACUUCACACCCCCAGAGUCAGUGCUUCAGAAGCCACAACCCCAGUUGUACAGACCUGUAGAAGAAACACCCUGCCAUUUUGUAUCCUCCCUGGACAAACUUGUGGAACUCAACGAAAAACUCUUGAAUUGUCAAGAAUUUGCUGUAGACUUAGAGCACCACUCUUACAGGAGCUUCCUGGGACUCACCUGCCUGAUGCAGAUUUCCACCCGAACAGAAGACUUCAUCGUGGACACCCUGGAGCUUCGCAGUGACAUGUAUAUCCUCAACGAGAGCCUCACAGACCCAGCUAUUGUUAAGGUCUUCCAUGGUGCCGAUUCCGACAUUGAGUGGCUACAGAAAGACUUUGGGCUAUACGUAGUAAACAUGUUUGAUACCCACCAAGCAGCACGCCUUCUUAACCUGGGCAGGCACUCGCUCGAUCACCUGCUGAAACUCUACUGCAGCGUGGAAUCAAACAAGCAGUACCAGCUAGCUGACUGGAGGAUACGCCCUCUGCCUGAAGAAAUGCUCAGCUAUGCCCGGGACGACACCCAUUACUUGCUCUACAUCUACGACAGAAUGAGGGUAGAGCUGUGGGAGCGAGGUGGAGACCAGCCUGUCCAGUUGCAGGUGGUGUGGCAGCGGAGCAGGGACAUCUGCCUCAAGAAAUUUGUCAAACCUGUCUUCACUGAUGAGUCCUACCUUGAACUGUAUCGGAAGCAAAAGAAGCAUCUCAACUCGCAGCAGUUGACAGCUUUCCAGCUGCUUUUUGCCUGGAGGGAUAAAACAGCUCGAAGGGAGGAUGAAAGUUAUGGAUACGUACUGCCGAACCACAUGAUGCUGAAGAUAGCCGAAGAACUGCCCAAGGAACCGCAGGGCAUCAUAGCUUGCUGCAACCCAGUACCGCCUCUUGUACGACAGCAGAUCAAUGAAAUGCAUCUUUUAAUCCAACAGGCUCGAGAGAUGCCCCUGCUCAAGUCUGAAGCUGCAGCUGGAGUGAAGAAGAGCGGGCCGCUGCCCAGUGUCGAGAGGUUGGAGAAUGUUCUCUUUGGCCCUCAUGACUGUUCCCAUGCCACUCCAGAUGGCUACCCAGUCACACCCACUGCUAGAUCUGUGCCAGCUCAGAAACAGUCGGACCUCUUCACUAACCAAAAAGAGGAGACCUUGCUGGAUACCAAAUGCCUUCUCGCCACAGCCGUCAUCACAUUGUUUAAUGAACCUACUGCUGAGGAAAAUGGAAAGAGUCCAUUAACAGUUGCACAGAAAAAAGCCCAGAACAUAAUGGAGUCCUUUGAAAACCCAUUUAGGAUGUUCCUGCCUUCACUAGAGCACCGGGGCCACAUCUCUCAGGCAGCAAAGCUCGAUCCUUCCUCGAAGAUCUAUGAAAUCAGCAACCGUUGGAAGCUGGCCAGCCAGGUUCAGGUACAAAAAGAACCUAAAGAAACUGCCAAGAAGAAGGCAGCUGAGCAAACAGCUGCCCGGGAACAGGCAAAGGAAGAGUACAAAGCCGCAGCGGAGCAGGCCACCUCUGUGCGCCAGCAGGCAGUGAUGGCGCCUCCUGCUACUGAUAGCAAAUCUGCCAGAAGGCCCUUCUGUGGGUGGCAGUGUGGCCCCAGGAAAUGCUUCAUUCUCACCACCCCCAGAGCACUCUGGAAUUCUAACCCCUGCCUUUCUUAUUGACUGACAUCACUGUCCAGGUAGGAACUUGUUCCUGCUGGCACUAGCCAAAUGAGAGUGUCCUGAAGUGCCAGGCUGCUCGUACCCAGCCAUGGCCUCCCCCGCCCACCAAACCCAUGUUGAUAUGAUACAGGCAGCUGAGUCCCCAGCUGAUAGAGAUUGAGCCUCCCAACCUGAUAUCCAAAUCUAAAAUGCUCCCAAAUCCAAACUCCCUGAGCAGGCACACACCACCACAGGGGAACAUUCCACACCUUCGAACCUUGGCUUGUGCCAAAAAUGGUUUAGCAUACUGUGUCCAGUCCCGUUGAACUAUGUGCAUAGGGGCAUAGGAAGCACAGAAGAGGGCGGGGGGCGGGGUGGGGGGGCAUGCCUGGAGCCCUCUGCAGUAGGCUCACUCCUUCUACUGCAGAAAAGAAAAUGAAACAAAUGAUUCUGGUGUUUAGACUUGGGCCCCAUCCUAAGGUGCCCCAUCAUAUAAUGUGUAGAUGUUCCCCCAGAAAUCCAACCUGUGGCCCAGGCAUUCCUAGGCCCUCCUCACCUGUCACCGAAGCGGCAGGUCUUCCCCUCUCAGGCACUUCCUGCUUCCCUCCCCGGGUGUGCUCGCCCUGCAGCUAGAGCAUGCUGCUAAGAAGAGAGAGCGAACAACAAGCGACCCGAGGACCCUGGAGCAGAAACAGGAGAAGAAACGACUCAAGACUUCCAAGAAGCCAAAGGACUCAGAUCCAACAGAAAAAGAUUUUACCCCUUUUGACUACAGCCAGUCGGACUUCAAGGCUUUUGCUGGAGACAGCAAACCCAAACCUUCCUCCCAGUUUGACCCCAGUAAGCAAGCCGUGUCUGGCAAGAAGUGCUUUGCAGCCAAAAAACUGAAACAGUCAGUGGGAAACAAAAGCAUGUCCUUUCCAACUGGAAAAUCAGACAGAGGCUUUAGGUACAACUGGCCAAAGAGAUAGUGCUGGAAGAGACCCUUGGGACCCCAGGGACUGGAAGCACCAAAUGGUGGUGCUGCUUUUAUAUAAAUGCAUUUUUAAACCAUUAAAACUAAUUCCUUCUGGAA